GACGAACGCUGGCGGCGUGCCUAAUACAUGCAAGUCGAACGCUUCUUUCCUCCCGAGUGCUUGCCCUCAAUUGGAAAGAGGAGUGGCGGACGGGUGAGUAACACGUGGGUAACCUACCCAUCAGAGGGGGAUAACACUUGGAAACAGGUGCUAAUACCGCAUAACAGUUUAUGCCGCAUGGCAUAAGAGUGAAAGGCGCUUUCGGGUGUCGUUGAUGGAUGGACCCGCGGUGCAUUAGCUAGUUGGUGAGGUAACGGCUCACCAAGGCCACGAUGCAUAGCCGACCUGAGAGGGUGAUCGGCCACACUGGGACUGAGACACGGCCCAGACUCCUACGGGAGGCAGCAGUAGGGAAUCUUCGGCAAUGGACGAAAGUCUGACCGAGCAACGCCGCGUGAGUGAAGAAGGUUUUCGGAUCGUAAAACUCUGUUGUUAGAGAAGAACAAGGACGUUAGUAACUGAACGUCCCCUGACGGUACCUAACCAGAAAGCCACGGCUAACUACGUG
RNAcentral lists this ribosomal RNA (508 nucleotides) under uncultured bacterium. Its description in RNAcentral is "partial 16S ribosomal RNA". It matches the Rfam family "Bacterial small subunit ribosomal RNA", at positions 28 to 507 of the family's 1533-position model. The record is from RNAcentral.